UACGGGGGGGGCAAGCGUUGUUCGGAAUUACUGGGCGUAAAGGGCUCGUAGGCGGCCAUCUAAGUCAGACGUGAAAUCCCUCGGCUUAACCGGGGAACUGCGUCUGAUACUGGUUGGCUUGAAUCCGGGAGAGGGAUGUGGAAUUCCAGGUGUAGCGGUGAAAUGCGUAGAUAUCUGGAGGAACACCGGUGGCGAAGGCGGCAUCCUGGACCGGUAUUGACGCUGAGGAGCGAAAGCCAGGUGAGCAAACGGG
This 253-nucleotide ribosomal RNA is filed under the name uncultured bacterium. Its description in RNAcentral is "partial 16S ribosomal RNA". It matches the Rfam family "Bacterial small subunit ribosomal RNA", at positions 524 to 776 of the family's 1533-position model. The record is from RNAcentral.